Harpegnathos saltator (Jerdon's jumping ant) is the source of this 1426-nucleotide long non-coding RNA. RefSeq lists it as uncharacterized. The record is from RefSeq and is a predicted model, not a curated record. NCBI's taxonomy places the organism in Eukaryota, Metazoa, Arthropoda, Insecta, Hymenoptera, Formicidae. The transcript has 3 exons.
UUGGAGUUUCCAUUUAAGAUUUUUAUAUUAAUCUUGACUGCAGCGUGAGCAUUUUGUUCUUGGUGCUUUGGAACACAGCCGAUGAUUUAGCAUAAGAACAUGUUUCGGAAAAAGUAGUUUUCUCAUUGGACGAUAAGCUGCAUUUCAAACUGCAUCGAAACAUAUGUUCAAACCAUUAUGAAAUGUAUUUCUCUAUGGCCCGAUUAUUUUAACCGAAAAGUAAGUUAACGAACAGUUAAAUUAUAUGUCUGUCUCUGUUUGUUUCGAACGAAAAACAAAGAUAGGCAUAUGAUUUAAUUGUUAGUCAACUUACCUUUCAGUUAGAACAACCGGGCCUAUUUCAGUAUUGCAAGGAUGACUUCGGGAUAUAUAGAAUUUAUCACGAUCUUGUGGAUCUUGUGGAUGUCCUUAGCACCACUUUUGGUACUUGAAAGAUACCUUACGGAUAUUAGUAGGAUCAUAUAAUGUUAUGUGUACAUAUUUUCAUGACAUCCACGUAUCACUUCUUUUGGAUGUUAAUGAGCAGACAUAGAAACGUCCUCGGUACAUCCUAUGUAUAUAUUUCGGUCUUUACGAAUGUAUUUCGCAUAUCACUAAAUCCCUUGUGAUAUAUCUAUUGGACGUACCUAGAAUCAAGUUUUGCUAUGUGGGGAAACAUUUCGUGAUCAAGAUACUGCCAUUUCCAAAUCUAUUGUUGAGAGAACAAUAAAGCAUUUUGAGGAAACUGGUAAUAUGAAAAAUUGUGCAAUAUCAGGUAAAUCUGCAUUAGCAACAAAUCCAGAAAAAUCAUUAGAUGUUUCAUAAUCCUUUAUCGAAAAUUCGCAUGAUUCUAUUCAGCAAAGUAGGAAAAUGAUCUAGAUAAAAAAUCUGUGCUUAAAAUAUUAAAACUUAAUAAAUUUCAUUUUUAUAAAGUCCAUCUCGUGCAAGAGAUUAAAACCUUUCUACGGCACCACAUUUGUUAGAUUUAUUACCCGAUUUCCCACUCCAUUAUUCAGAAGACCACGUUUUUGUAAUGAAUUACAAACAAGUACAGACGUACGAAAACAAUUUGAAAAGAAAAUUCGGAUAAUUGGUGGACAAACUGCAAUGAAACAUUUAAGCAAUAGUUUAGUUAUAGCGUUAACAAACAAAUUAGCAAAAGAAAUAAUUUGGGAUGAUCAACGAAAGACCGAGGGGAUAAAAACACCACGUUUUCCAAUGAACGAUUUUACACUUAUAUCAGUCAGCCAUCUACAGCGAGUUGAGCAAUAAAUUCUCCGAGUGGUUGAGAAGAACUGGAGACAGAUUUCGUUAUCAUUUGAAGUUGGGGCAUGAAUCUUAAUUAUGUCAGAGGACUUUUAUUUUUUUGUUUUGCUGAUAUUUUUUGUUUUGUUUAUCUAAUAUGACAUUUCAGUUUCAAACAGUAUAAUAUUUAACAUAAAGUCAC